Long non-coding RNA from Patella vulgata (common limpet), 2001 nucleotides. RefSeq lists it as uncharacterized. The transcript has 5 exons. The record is from RefSeq and is a predicted model, not a curated record. Lineage: Eukaryota; Metazoa; Mollusca; Gastropoda; Patellidae.
GUGUCUUGACUUAUUAUAUAAGGUAGUAGAUUUCAACCCUUCCUUCACUUUUGACAAGUAAAAGUGUCCACAAAUUCUUUCAAACGACACACGGAUUGUAAACUAAAUUUUUGCGGUAAAAUUUUCUGUGGCUAGAUUUUUUACACAGACGUCGACUGAGUUUGUGUGUGUAAUAAGAAUUUGCGGUAAAACUAAAUGCGAGUUAAAACUGACAAAUAUAACGGUUUGCUUCAUGUGAAAACGACAAAAAAAAGUAUACGUGAGCAAUUAAGGUUUCGUUUUCAAAGUGUUUCGCCUACCGUACCAAUGUUUGUAGCCAGUAAUAUAGGACAGUUUAUGUACAUGUGUAUGGCUAUGCUAUGUGCUGUUGCAGCAGAAACCAUGUUUUACCGAUCUGGUGACAUCUUGGUAGAGAUUGAGGGGUCGGGAUCAACAGAACAAUGUUAUGUAUACGGACACAGAGAUAUUAUAAACCAAAUACUGAAGGAAGAGAAAUCAUCAGCUGUUACACCAAUCACACACCAGGAAAUCCAUAGCAUCAUCAAAUCCUGUACUACAAAUGUUAACACUCUUUUAAAAGUCUCCACCACAAAGAGAUAUAAAAGACAAUUAAUUUACCCGGGAACCAAAUGGUGCGGCGCUGGUAACAUAUCAUCAAAUUAUUCUGAUUUAGGUGAACACGCUGAAACAGACCAAUGCUGUAGAGAACAUGAUUAUUGCCCAGACUAUAUACUACCAUUCAAAUCAAAACAUGGUUUAACUAACUAUGGUUUAAUCUCCAAAUCCCACUGCGAUUGUGAUAACACCUUUUACAACUGUCUCAAAGCCACCACAGAGAAAGCUGGCAAUGAAGUCGGUCAUUUGUUUUUCAAUAUUCUAGAGAUACCCUGUUUUAAAGUGUUCGAUGUUGAAACCUGUCUAAAGAAGGGGUGGUGGUUUACUUGUAAUAAAAGAGGACGUGCUAAACGUGCGAGAUUUAUCUCAAAUAAACGAUUUUAAUUUCUCUUUUUUAUCAUCUGAGUUUAUUUUAUAUAUUUUCUUUAUAUUCUCUACGUUGAAUUUUCUAAUAAAGAUUAGCAUUGUUUCAAUAUUUAUGUAGACAAAAAAGAUACUAAUCCGAAAGGAAGUUCUAAAUUUACAUUCAGAACUGACCAUUACUAUCUGAUUAUUGUGGGUAUCAAUCUCAUUAGACUGGUUUUGAAUAUUCACAAAUAAAAUAUUAGAACAUAAAAAAAGUUAGAAACGAAACGAAAUAUAGUCACUAAGGCCCAAUUCAAAAUCAACCAACGGCAUAGUUCCGACUAGAGCUGGACGGUAAAUCCCACCACAGCGGAAAAUGUAAAAUCCUUUCGGGGGUUGGUGCAUCCAUAGUCGUCCAUAUGUGACGAAACACAUUAAAAUGCACAUAAAAGAACCCCUGACUGAUAUCCGGUACACAUUUCAAUUUUAGCACAUUAUGUCCACAAGUUGACCAGAAACAUGGGACGUUUUAAAAAAUCCCAUUUCAUUCCCUAGCGAGUAUAAAUUUACAAUCUAAUAUAAACCCAUAAUUGGUAUUGAACUUCAUAUUCAUAACUGACGAAAUAAUCAGUCUUUCUCAAUUCCAAACAACCAAUCAAUCGUUUAGUCCAUGGAGCGCCGAACGUCGCGUGGUAUGGGAAAUUUGCCGUCCCCGAGAAAACUUUGAAAGUUUAACCGCCGCAGAUGCUCUUCUCUGCUGGGGGAUCACGUAGCUAAGUGGGUAAGACGCUGGCUCGCUAGGGAGGUCGGGUGUUCGAUCCCUGCAUUGCCCGAGAAAGUUCAUCCCGAUUUUCCGGCGUGGUUUCCCCUUGUCAGUGAUGCAGGACGGAGGGCCUGACAAGGACAGCUGUCAAGUCGUUCGGAUGGGACGAAAAACCGAGGUCCCGUGUACACAUUGACGUGCACGUAAAAGAUCCCUUGGCAGUUGGAAUUCGAUAUAAGAGUAGGCCGUAGCGCCGCUGCCAGGGCAAAAUUUCCCUU